RNAcentral lists this long non-coding RNA (2309 nucleotides) under Homo sapiens (human). RNAcentral's name for it is "HSALNT0272886". Lineage: Eukaryota; Metazoa; Chordata; Mammalia; Primates; Hominidae. The record is from RNAcentral.
CCCCGCUGCAGGCCCCGCCCACCAGCCCGGGUCCACCCGCGAGGCGCGGGGCACAGGCUUGGCAGAUGCACACGAGGAAGAGGAAGGGAUCCUCGCAAGCUUUGAAAGGCGCCGUCAAGUCAAAUAAAUAAAUGCCCUACAACACCAACCCAGGACUGAGAUCUGCAUGCUGGAAUGACGGUGGUGGUGGUGGCUUUCAGUAUUCCCCAGGUUUUGUCCGGAGCACCGGCACGCCCUCUCUUGAAGUCCGCUCUCCGCACAGCUUUUUAACUUGAUUAGUGGUUAGACGGGAAGAUCCGGAGCUGUCCAGUGUCUUGGGUAAUGCACGGCAUCGCCUGAUGUCUGACGCUAGAACACCACGUAAAGUCAAGCAGAGGGAAGUGAAUGCGCCCUAGGCCCCUGCAGGCCACCAAGAAGAGCUAGAGGGAGUUGGUGCAAUCCUAGAGAUGCCGGCAGGUGCACCAAUCUGUGGCACACGUACGCUCUCCAAUGGAAGACAACUCAAGACCACACCAAGUUUGUAUUAAAAAAGUACUGUUGUGUUACUUUUUACCAACCUCCAAUCAUUAUACAAAAUGUUAAAAAAUACACAAACACACACACACACUCACAGCCAUAGAGGUUAUCGCAAAAGAUCAACCCAGAAUCUUUCAGAAUAUGACAGAUGCACUGAGAAGGCAGAUAAAUUGAUUCAAUAUACAAAAGGCCUCUUUCCUAUGGAAUUUCAUUAGAUUAAAUAAGGUGUUCCCUCCUCACAGCCUCAUCCUUAUGAGCAAUCAUAUAAAUAAUCUAUUUAAAGUCCUUGAACUAUAACUUGUAUAAUUUUUAGUUUUCCCCCUUUGAAGGGGCCUAAGAGAAAGGUUUGAGAAACCAGCUCUUGAGGGGGGCAGGGGUGAGGGGUAAGAGGUCCUGUGCCUUUCAUUCAUCCUGGGAGCUUCUCAGGAUUGCAGCAUUUCCACCUGAGUGUUCAUUCUUGUACAUUUUCUCAUCUUUCUCCUGGGUUCCUAGGAUCUUGGAGAUUACCUAGUCCAAUCCUUUUACUUCAGAAACAAAAAACCUGAGGCUCAGAAAGGCUAAGUCAAAUGCCUAGGGUCACACAGGGAAACUGUGGGAGUUGGAUCCCUGAGUCCCAGUCCUUAAACUGGUUGCUACAUGACAUUCUAGAACCUCUCCCCACCAACUCCCUUUUUAAAGACAGGGUCUGGUUCUGUCACCCAGGCUGAAGUGCAGUGACAUGAUCUUGGCUCACUGCAACCUCCGCUUCCUGGGCUCAAGCCAUUCUCCCACCUCAGCCUCCCAAGUAGCUGGGACAACAGGCACAUGCCACUACGCCCAGUUAAUUUUUCUAAUUUUGUUUUGUAGAGACAGAUUUGCCAUGUUGCCCAGGCUGGUCUCGAAUUACUGGCCUCAAGCGAUACGCCUGUUUAGGCAUCCCAAAGUGCUGGGGUUACCGGCAGGAGCAAUUGCUCCGGGCCAGACUUCCCUUCCCCCGCCCACACCCCCCCAACCCGGCCUAGAUCCACAGGCACUGUAAUCACAGCUGACACACUCGACUCGGAAUCAGCAUAGAGAGCACUCUGAAAAUUGUCAAAUAGGGUCCCUGAAACUUGUAUACCAUACUUCUCCUGAAGAUCUUGAAGCAUCUUUGUGUUUGCUUUUUUUUUUUUUAACUUAAAAUAUGGCAUUCAGGUUUUAUCCCUCUCCCCGACGCCAUGUUUCCUUUCUGUAUUAGUCACACACGUGAUCCUAAAGUCUGUCUUCCCCACUUUAACUGGGGAGGGCUGGACAAGGUGGAAUUCCAAUUGCAGGAGACAGGAUGUGACAUGGGUGAGGUGCCCAAGGCUCACCGACUGAAACUUCGAUGGCUCUUCCCUGUUUCCUUGUGCAGGGCCCCCCUUCUCUCCACUGCUCACCUGGCUCUCCUCCUCCCUUCCUGCCUGCUUUGCAGCUCUUGCUACUAUUUUCCUUUUCUUUCCCUGCUCCCACCCUGGCCCAAUUUAUUUCACAGAAAUAUCACAGGGCCAGCCAGGCACAGCGGCUCACCCCUGUAAUCCCAGCACUUUACGAGGCUGAGGAGGGCAGAUCACUUGAGGUCAGGAGUUUGAGACCAGCCUGGCCAACAUGGUAAAAUCCUGUCUCUACUAAAAAUACAAAAAUUUGCUAGGCAUGGUGGCAGGCGCCUGUAAUCCCAGCUACUUGCGAGGGAGGCUGAGGCAGGAGAAUCACUUGAACCUGGGAGGCGGAUGUUGCAGUGAGCCAAGAUCACACCAUUGCGCUCCAGCUUGGGCGACAGAACGAGACUCUGUCUC